Molecule: ribosomal RNA, 496 nt
Filed under: uncultured bacterium
Lineage: Bacteria
Description: partial 16S ribosomal RNA
Rfam family: Bacterial small subunit ribosomal RNA
Source: RNAcentral
GAUGAACGCUGGCGGCGUGCCUAAUACAUGCAAGUCGAGCGAACAGAUGAGGAGCUUGCUCCUCUGACGUUAGCGGCGGACGGGUGAGUAACACGUGGAUAACCUACCUAUAAGACUGGGAUAACUUCGGGAAACCGGAGCUAAUACCGGAUAAUAUAUUGAACCGCAUGGUUCAAUAGUGAAAGACGGUUUUGCUGUCACUUAUAGAUGGAUCCGCGCCGCAUUAGCUAGUUGGUAAGGUAACGGCUACCAAGGCAACGAUGCGUAGCCGACCUGAGAGGGUGAUCGACCACACUGGAACUGAGACACGGUCCAGACUCCUACGGGAGGCAGCAGUAGGGAAUCUUCCGCAAUGGGCGAAAGCCUGACGGAGCAACGCCGCGUGAGUGAUGAAGGUCUUCGGAUCGUAAAACUCUGUUAUUAGGGAAGAACAAAUGUGUAAGUAACUAUGCACGUCUUGACGGUACCUAAUCAGAAAGCCACGGCUAACUACGUG